GCAAGUCGAACGAGAUGGCCCAUUAAAGGUUUAGUGCUUGCACCAGACUGGAUCUGGAUUCCCAUCUAGUGGCAUACUGGUCACUAACACGUAGGUUACCUGCUCUAAGUUGGGGUUAACAGUUAGAAACGACUGAUAAUACCGAAUGUGCUCUACGGAGUAAAGAAGCCUUUAAAGCAUCGCUUAGAGAUGAGCCUGAGGCGUAUCAACUAGUUGGUGAGGUAACGGCUCACCAAGGUAACGACGCGUAGCCGAACUGAGAGGUUGAUC
RNAcentral lists this ribosomal RNA (270 nucleotides) under uncultured bacterium. Its description in RNAcentral is "partial 16S ribosomal RNA". It matches the Rfam family "Bacterial small subunit ribosomal RNA", at positions 57 to 305 of the family's 1533-position model. The record is from RNAcentral.